Molecule: non-coding RNA, 1204 nt
Organism: Salvia hispanica
Lineage: Eukaryota; Viridiplantae; Streptophyta; Magnoliopsida; Lamiales; Lamiaceae
Source: RefSeq, a predicted model, not a curated record
UUGGUCAAUUCAUCCCCGUUAUCCACAACGCUCAACUCCACCCUCAUAUCCAUAGCAGCGAAAGCAAUCCUCUCAGCUCUGAAUCAGUAACGGCCAUGGCAAUGGCGACCUCUAUCUCCGCUAUCACCUCAUCCUUAUCUUCGCUAUCCUUUUCCUCCCAAAUAUCGCACACUUCUCUUCCGCCAAAGUCUAUCUCCUUGAAAUUUUCCGCCCCCAAAUUCCCCACCUUCAUCGUUGCCUCCUCCGCUGCCGUCGCUGAACCCGGAGUGGAGAAGCAGGAUUUGGAGAAGCUGGUGAAAUCGAGGCUUCCUGGUGGAUUCGCCGCUCAGACUAUCAUCGGCACCGGCCGCAGGAAGAGCGCUAUUGCUAGGGUUGUUCUGCAGGAAGGCACCGGCAAAAUCAUCAUCAAUUAUCGCGACGCUCAGGAAUACCUUCAAGGCAAUCCUUUGUGGCUGCAGUAUGUCAAGACUCCUCUGGUGACAUUAGGAUAUGAGAGUAGCUACGAUGUCUUUGUAAAAGCACAUGGUGGCGGCCUAUCCGGGCAGGCCCAAGCCAUAUGUCUUGGCGUUGCUCGAGCCUUGCUCAAGGUCAGCGACAGCCAUAGAUCGCCUCUGAAGCAGGAAGGCCUCCUCACCCGGGACUCCAGAGUAGUUGAGAGGAAGAAGCCUGGGCUAAGGAAAGCUAGAAAGCGCCCACAGUUCUCAAAGCGUUAAGUACUAUCUCAAGGCCCGAGAAAAUGUAUAAAGCCCGCCUAGGCCGGCAUGCUAACUCAAAAUCUGGGAAAACACUAACCCACCAAUUUUGGAGGCGCUGGCCAUCGGACUGUGUUCGGCUACCUUCUCCGGCGUCGUGUGGAGUUUAGUGACUCCGGGGACUGUGUUCGGCUACCUUCUCCGGCGUCGUGUGGAGUUCAGUGACUCCGGGACCGUUCCUCCCAACGGCCGCGCGUCGGACCUUCUCCCCUGAUGGAUUUAUUGUUCUAAGCCUCUUCUUGUUGAUAUUCAUAUCUAAGCUUCUUCGUUCUCCUGGUUCUUACUCAAUUUCAGUUUAUUUUUUGCUCAAAAUAGGUCAAAGGGUGCUCUGCUCUAAUUUACUGGAAUUUUGGUAGAAUUUUGGUAAUAGUUCAUUCCAUUUUUGUGAUGGUUGAAUGUGUUCAUCUUGCUCGAAUUGAGACACUGAUGAUAGAGCUGAGCUUCUUCCCCAA